RNAcentral lists this non-coding RNA (24 nucleotides) under Cricetulus griseus (Chinese hamster). Lineage: Eukaryota; Metazoa; Chordata; Mammalia; Rodentia; Cricetidae. The record is from RNAcentral.
GUGUAGCUUUGGAACUUUGGCAUC